CCGGGAACUCAAAGGAGACUGCCAGUGAUAAACUGGAGGAAGGUGGGGAUGACGUCAAGUCAUCAUGGCCCUUACGACCAGGGCUACACACGUGCUACAAUGGCGCAUACAAAGAGAAGCGACCUCGCGAGAGCAAGCGAACCUCAUAAAGUGCGUCGUAGUCCGGAUUGGAGUCUGCAACUCGACUCCAUGAAGUCGGAAUCGCUAGUAAUCGUGGAUCAGAAUGCCACGGUGAAUACGUUCCCGGGCCUUGUACACACCGCCCGUCACACCAUGGGAGUGGGUUGCAAAAGAAGUAGGUAGCUUAACCUUCGGGAGGGCGCUUACCACUUUGUGAUUCAUGACUGGGGUGAAGUCGUAACAAGGUAACCGUAGGGGAACCUGCGGUUGGAUCACCUCCUUACCUUAAAGAA
RNAcentral lists this ribosomal RNA (413 nucleotides) under Escherichia coli. Its description in RNAcentral is "bacterial SSU rRNA". It matches the Rfam family "Bacterial small subunit ribosomal RNA", at positions 1131 to 1533 of the family's 1533-position model. Lineage: Bacteria; Pseudomonadati; Pseudomonadota; Gammaproteobacteria; Enterobacterales; Enterobacteriaceae. The record is from RNAcentral.